UGCUGAGACCUAGCGGAGAACGGAGGAACCGCAAGCGAGGGUUGGCGCACCUGAUGGAAUUCGGUGACGUCACGAGCACGUACAGAGACGUGGACGGCCGUGACCUUGUUUUGAUCAGCUGUACGGUAACUUAGCGAUAAGAAAAUAGACUAUUGGUUAAAUAAAUUUAAAUUUAAGUGUGUUUUAGGAGAAGAGGAACUUUCAGUAUAUUCCUUAAGAUGAGCUGAGCAGCAGUCCAGUUUACAAGAUGACAAGAGUUCGAGAGACAAGAUACAAGAUCACUGAAACAAGAGCCAAGACUGAAGAUUCAAGAGAAGAGAAAGCUGGCAGCCAUGGACUUACAAGUGGAGAUUAAUAAGGUCAUGUAAAGUUUUAUUUUUUUUAUGGAAGACAGUAACUGGAGUUUUUUUUUGUUAUAAACAUUAUUUACAGAACUUUUUAGGUUAUAGUAAUGUAAUGGAACUAGUGAGUUGUGGUAGCUGUCAAAAAGAACUAAUACCUUAAGUUUAAUUUUUAAAGUUAAUUUUCUUAAUUUACAGAGGGAUUAGUAGUUUUUUUUAAAACCUUAUUUAGGUUGGAAUUUCAAUACAAUAGCUUAUUAUAAAUGUGUACGAACAGUUCAAGUUCACAGUACUGAUAGGUAGGUCAGAUGAUCUUAUUGAUUUUGAUGAUUUGUUGUUUUGAGUUGAUUUUUAAGUGUUGUGAAUUAGACAAUGAAAUAGUUCUGAAAACUUAAAUUAUUUCAAGCUAAGAAAUAGCAAAUUUAAUUGUAACUCGAAGGACACCAGAAUUUACUUUUUUUUUGAAUUAGUAAUGUUUGAAAAUUUUAUACUUUACAAGAAAGGUUAUAAACAAACAGAUCGGAUGGAACAAGGAUGCAGUAAAUCACAAUUUCAUUUAGAAUUAUUGAUUAGCUUUUGAGGUUAUGAAGUAAAAGUAAUUAUAGUUUAAAAGUUUGAAUAAAAAAAAAUGUUUUUUUUUUUAUUUGUUUCAAAUAGAAAGUUUAAAAGUUAAUUAGUCAUGAUCUAGGUGGGUGAUGGGGUGGGAAUUGGCCACUCUUUUUCCCUAUAACCUCCCUAACAUGGCCUUCUAUUACAACUAACAGAAAUAAAGAAGAAGAAAAAUGAAGAAUUAUUAGUUAGAAUGUUUCUUUCAUGAAGAUACCUGAUGAACUUUUACUGUUUGGAAGAAUAGAAGCAAGGUUAGUCAGAUAUUUUUACUCAGAAGAAGAAGAAGAUAAAGCAGUUUUAUGACUCGACAAGCCAGAGAUUGGUGUUUCCCCUCUGCGCUUCUAUUGACUACGUUGUUUACUCUCAUGGGAUAGCUGGUUCGGCACCAUGGAGAGAGAUUGGUGGGCAUUGUGGUUGCCCCCAGAAGAAAAGAAGAGUAGAAGAGGUUAUGGGUGGGUCAUGUGAACUGACCUUCAACCCAGUUACUUCGUGGGGACUAUUUGCUGUAUAGAGAAGAUCAAGACUCAAGAGUUAGGGAAAAUCAUUGGAGGUCAUGUUUCCCUUCCUUAAGUUUUUCCUAUCAAAUUAUUUGCCUGAUUAGAUUAUGCUAAGGGUGGGAUACUUUAUGUUAGCAGUUGAAUUAAUUAAUUUUAUUUUUUUGUGUGUUUGCAUCCUUGCCCAUCGAUUGCAGUUUAGUAGUUAGUUUUGUAUUUGUCAGGCGUGAUGGUAAUGCCUGUUGAUGAUGUUUCAGAAUUGUAAUCUGUUCGUGAUGAGGAUGGCACAACUCCGAAGCAGAUGUGGGGAGAAGUUGUGAGCUGCCCUGGAAGCCAGUCCAGUAGCUGUUGGAGUUGAGUGGUGUUUGCUGAUGGCCAGCCCAGGGAGCUACUCUUCUCGACAACACUGACUUCGAGGAGUUGCACCAACCUUCACGAGAUAAGAGUUUAAUUAAUUGAAACACUGUAAGGACACUUAAUUUUUUUUGAAGAACGAAAGAAGUAUGGUAAUAAACGGAAACCGAAAAAAAAAAA
This is a long non-coding RNA of Bacillus rossius redtenbacheri, 1978 nucleotides long. RefSeq lists it as uncharacterized. The transcript is spliced from 2 exons. The record is from RefSeq and is a predicted model, not a curated record. NCBI's taxonomy places the organism in Eukaryota, Metazoa, Arthropoda, Insecta, Phasmatodea, Bacillidae.